This 2214-nucleotide long non-coding RNA is filed under the name Salmo salar (Atlantic salmon). RNAcentral's name for it is "lncRNA (ENSSSAG00000109407.1, ENSSSAG00000116395.1)". Lineage: Eukaryota; Metazoa; Chordata; Actinopteri; Salmoniformes; Salmonidae. The record is from RNAcentral.
GUGACUGUACUAUUUAGUGUCAUUGUUUUAUAGAUACCAUAGUGAGAAAGGAUUCAUUUCGCAACACCUACGGCUUCCACUAGAUGGCAACGAUCUUUAUAAAGUUGUUUGAAGCGUCUAUGAUAAACAGAGAGCAAAUUAGAAUCCAAGGAAGUUGACAUGUCAUCACUUCAUUUUUUGCGCCUGCGCAUAAAUCUGAGAAACGUGAGUUUUGUCUUCAUUGUUUAUCUCGACAUAGGAUAGGUUGUGUGAAAAUAUUACUGAUGUUUAACGUUAAAAAUGGACCAAAAGAUUAAUGCUAAACAACAUUUGACAUGUUUGAACGAACAUAAAUAGAUUAUUUACUAGGUUUUUUUUAGCUUUUCGGCGUGAUUUUACAGUCCCCCACCACGUUUUGUGGGAGCAUAAUGAACGCUAAGUACUUGGUGUUAUUUGGACAUAAAUUAUGAACUUUGUCAAAAGAAACCACAUUUGUUCCGGACCUGUGAUGCCUUCCGGACCUGGGAUGCCAGUCUUUUGAUGGAGAUAAUCAAAGGGGACAGCGGGGAGAAAGCAGGUUUCUGCAGGGGAGACUCUGAGCAAGUCUCUGAGCAGGUGACAGGAAGAACGACACGUCGAUGGAAGUGAUGGGAUAGGGAGGACACCUGCAGCUUCCUCUCCAUUGACAGAUAUCCACCCGGGACACAUCUGGGUUCUCAGACAAAAAUAUCUCUGACAGGUUCAUCAGCUGUCCGGGUGGCUGGUCUCAGAUGAUCCUGCAGGACAUCUGAAAAACAUCUGAUCUACAACCUGUUGGGCACUGAAACGUGCACUCAUGGCUUCAGCAAAGAGAGAACUGGGGGGACUGUCAUCUGCAGCACCUUUAUAGCCUCUGACUGCCUUCCCCAUUAGUAAACAAUUCUUUCAAGAAAUGUUUAUUUUGUCUGAAAUUGUUUUUAUUUAGUCUGUGAACUUGAGUUGUGUGGGGUCAUGGAGGGGAGAUGCUGCACGUGCACAAGAAAGUUCAAUCAGUAGCACACAUCUCAAUUUCUCAUUGUGUGUGUGUGUGUGUGUGUGUGUGUGUGGUGAGUACACUAUUUUGUAACUGCCGUGUCAAAAAUGACCCUAAGACAAUCUUUGUACCCUGGUUUUGUACAGCUUUCAUGGAAAUAUGAACAUGGGCGAUGUUUCACUUUUUCUAAUGUUGGGGUCACUCUAGGAAAAGUCAUCAAAUUUAUUUUGGAAAAAAUAUAAUUUAGGGGGUUUUCUCUGCUGUUAAACAUAGUGGCGGAUCAUUUUUGACCCUUAAGACAACACAAGGGUUAAGAUAAUUGUAUGUGUGGGUACAGAGAUGAGGUAGUCAUAAAAAAUCAUGUUAAACACUAUUAUUGUGGCCUCCAGAAGGGUGCAGCAGUCUAAGGCACUGCAUCGCAGUGCUAGCUGCGUCACUACAGAUCCCGGUUCGAUCUCAGGCUGUGUUGCAGCCGGCCUCGACCGGGAGACCCAUGAGGCGGCACACAAUUGGCCCAGCAUCACCUGGGUUAGGGGAGGGUUGGACGGCUGGGUUGUCCUUGUCCCAUCGCGCUCUAGCAACUCCUGUGGCGGGCUGGGCGCAGUGCAUGCUGACACGGUUGCCAGGUUUACGGUGUUUCCCCCGACACAUUGAUCGGCUGGCUUUUAAGUUAAGCGAGCAUUGUGUUAAGAAGCAGUGCAGCUUGGCGGGGUCGUGAUUCGCAGAACGCACGGCUCUCGACCUUCACCUCUCCCGAGUCCACAGGGAGUUACAGCGAUGGGACAAGACUGUAACUACCAAUUGGAUAUCAUGAAAUUGGGGAGAAAAAAAAUCUAAAUAAUUAUUAGAAAUGAAACACUAUGAUUGCACACAGUGUGAGUCCAUGCAACUUAUUAAGUACAUUUUUACUCCUGAAAUUAUUUAGGUUUGCCAUAACAAAGGGGUUGAAUACUUAGUGACUCAAGACAUUUCAGCUUUUAAUUUUGAAUUAAUAAAAAUUUCGAAAAGCAUAAUUCCACUUUGACGUUAUGGUGUAUUGUGUGUGAAUCUGAAUGAAUUUGAAUCUGUUUAAAAUUCAGGCUGUAACAACAAAAUGUGGAAAAGGUCAAGAGUUGUGAAUGCUCUCUAAAGGAAUUGUAUCGGUUGUCAUAUUGAGUUCAGUAGAAUGUCUGGAUGGAUUUCUUAAUGAUGACACGUGUAUUUAUUGUAUUUACAUAAAUGAG